UUUCUGGACUAACUUCGCCAGUGGAUUCAAUAGGCUUUGAGUUGCUGUAUAUUAAAGGAAUCACUGGUAAUUGGCCUGCCGGCAUAAUGGCUUCAAUGAAGAGAACCAGGGAGAUAAUUAAAAAACUUAUAACCAGCAAGCGGGGUCUUCUGGAGGAGAUCAACGAAAGGCGGGAGUCCAACUGCCUGGUGGAGAGAGGCAAUGAGGUCAGCCUGCUCAGAGUUCAGCGGAGGCAUUUCAAAGAGGCCUAUUCGUCCCAGUCCCCGCAGGAUGGAGUCAGAGAAUCUGUUCCCGACAGCGGCAGGAGCUCCUGGGUGGAGCUGAGCUUCAUCACCCACAAGGAAAGAAAGCACUUCCCACCCAAAAAUAAUGCCAUAUUUGGAUAACCUGCAUCUCCAGAGAUACACAGAAAUGCCACCUCUUUAAUCCUUCAAUGUCUUGUCUGAAUUAUUUGCAAAUAUUAUGAAGCAUAAAAUUAUGUGCUUGGAUCACCAGGAAAACAUUUAAUUAAGUUAUGUCGAUGCAGGGGCCAGGAAUAAGGAAGCCCACAUAGCAAAAAACAAGAUGGCCCUGACACCAGUACCAUUGAUACCAUCAAACCAAAACUGAAGCCAUAAACAGGAGAAAAACAACUUGGCUCCACAAAAAACAACUUUGUUCCGCCUAAACCUGUUUCCCCCCUGCCAACACAGUUUUCCUGCCUAACCUCUCCUCACCCUAUAAAAGGACAUCUCCCCCCAUAAUGGGUGCUACUUCUCCGACCCCCAUGAGAGUUGGCAAAUCUCACCCAGGGUGCAAUAAAG
Talpa occidentalis (Iberian mole) is the source of this 803-nucleotide RNA transcript. It is a transcript of the gene named spermatogenesis associated 45, with no coding region annotated. The record is from RefSeq and is a predicted model, not a curated record. The transcript has 4 exons. NCBI's taxonomy places the organism in Eukaryota, Metazoa, Chordata, Mammalia, Eulipotyphla, Talpidae.